GACGAACGCUGGCGGCGUGCUUAACACAUGCAAGUCGAAAGAAGUGGCGAACGGGGGAGUAACGCGUAAUCAACCUGCCCUUCAGAGGGGGACAACAGUUGGAAACGAAUGCUAAUACCGCAUACUGAAGGAGGGGAUUGCGUCUGAUUAGCGAGGUGGAGGGGUAACGGCCCCCCAAGGCGGUGAUCAGGAGCCGGUCUGAGAGGAUGAACGGCCACAUUGGGACUGAGACACGGCCCAGACUCCUACGGGAGGCAGCAGUUGGGAAUCUUCCGCAAUGGACGAAAGUCUGACGAAGCAACGCCGCGUGAGUGAUGACGGCCUUCGGGUUGUAAAGCUCUGUUAAUCGGGACGCGGUACCGGAAUAGAAAGCCACGGCUAACUACGUGCCAGCAGCCGCGGUAAUAC
RNAcentral lists this ribosomal RNA (408 nucleotides) under uncultured bacterium. RNAcentral describes it as "partial 16S ribosomal RNA". It matches the Rfam family "Bacterial small subunit ribosomal RNA", at positions 28 to 526 of the family's 1533-position model. The record is from RNAcentral.